UACGAAGGGGGCUAGCGUUGCUCGGAAUUACUGGGCGUAAAGGGCGCGUAGGCGGACAGUUUAGUCAGAGGUGAAAUCCUGGAGCUCAACUCCAGAACUGCCUUUGAUACUGGAGAGCUUGAGUCCGGGAGAGGUGAGUGGAACUGCGAGUGUAGAGGUGAAAUUCGUAGAUAUUCGCAAGAACACCAGUGGCGAAGGCGGCUCACUGGCCCGGUACUGACGCUGAGGUGCGAAAGCGUGGGGAGCAAACAGG
This 253-nucleotide ribosomal RNA is filed under the name uncultured bacterium. Its description in RNAcentral is "partial 16S ribosomal RNA". It matches the Rfam family "Bacterial small subunit ribosomal RNA", at positions 524 to 776 of the family's 1533-position model. The record is from RNAcentral.